GGGGCGGCGCGGGCACGAUUCCUUCCCCGCGGAUCUGGCGGGGGAGCAGAGGAGGGAGCAGCCCUGCCCGGAGUCUCAGGCUCCCGCCAGCCCCAAUCCCGGGCGACUGCGCCGAGCGCCUCCGGAGUCGCGGGAAGCUCCUCCUGCUCCGCGGCUGGCGCCAGUUGCACGGUGGCCGCCCCCAAAUUCGAGGAGGAAGGUGCAAAGUGGUGGGAGGCUGCGGGUCUCCCGGAGGGUGAGGCGUUGGGGACCAGGCGGGAGCACAGCCGAACCCCUACCUUUCGGGCGGGGCGGACACCAGCCGCGCGCCCUCGCCGGGCGCCGGGACCGGAAAAUCACCGCGAAGGGAGGGACGAGGAAAGGCGGCGGGUGGCUUCAGGACAAGGACUUUGUGAUUACAUUGGGCCCAUCCAGAUCAUCCAGGAUCAUCUUCCCAUCUCAAGAUUCUUCACUUAAUCACAUCUGCAAAAUUCCUUUUGCUGUGUAAGCUGUGAGAUAUCGGUGGGCGAGGAUGUGAUGCCUGAAGAUGUGGCAUCUACCUUGAAACAGUCAAGGACCUGAGGAUGAAGCCAGCAUCUGAGGAAGACAGACAGAAAGGAUCUGGAUACAUCAUGAGCCUGAAAAGUAUCUUGCAUACACAACUGGCAGCACAGAAUCCUGACAAACCUCUCAUCAGAAAUCAACCACAGACUCUUUAUGCUCUUACCAAAAUGCUGGCUUUGAGAACUAAUUAUGAAUGAAAAUUACUGAUGUGAUUUUCAGGUUGAUUCUGUUAUACAAGUACAGAAUAACUGCAGUACAAAACAGCAAUCAAGUCUGAACAGGAAAUCUCUGGACAAAGAGAAAAAUACUAUCAUUGAAAUAAGGGACAAGGGAUUAUGGCAAUAUUAAAUAAUGGCACUGAUUAGUGAAAUGAUUCUAGGGGGAAGUGUCAAAAGAUUUUCUAAAGAACAUGUACUGAGCAGAUGAUCGCUGACUGCAUAAUUGCCCUUUCUGGGUAGGUGUGUAAGACACACACACGCACACACACGUUUGGGAGAAUUGUGACCAUCGGGUUCCAUAGUAACAAGAUAAGUUAUAAUAGCCACCUUUCAUUGAGCACCUACAAUAUGUCACAAACUGUGAUAGGGACUUUAUGUAUUUCAAUACACUAUCUGUUAUCUAUUUUCCUUUUUUUUUGGAGACGGAGUUUCACUCUUGUUGCCCAGGCUGGAGUGUGAUCUCGGCUGGUGCUAUCUCGGCUCAUGGCAACUUCUACUUCCCGGGUUCAAGUGAUACUCCUGUCUCAGCCUCCCGAGUAGCUGGGAUUACAGGCAUGCACUACCACGCCUGGCUAAUUUUGUAUUUUUAGUAGAGACGGGGUUUCUCCUUGUUGGUCAGGCUGGUCUCAAACUCCCGACCUCAGGUGAUCUGCCAGCCUCGGCCUCCUGAAGUCCUGGGAUUACAGGCGUGAUCCAUCUCACCCGGCCUUGUUACCUAUUUUCUAUUGGUAACUGAGGUAAAACCUAUUGGAGGCUUAGCAGUAGGUUCAUGUGUUCAUACAUUUUGGGGAAUGUAAGAGAGUAUCAGGGCAAUUGAUUAUUGCCUUUGUGGGUUGAAAGCAGCAACACAGGAAUAGAUUGCUGAUAUGAAGAGUGAGAUGACCUGUAGAGUAAGCAAUCUAACCAUUAACAUCAACUCAACUUGGGCAAUAAAAUUUGAUAUUUUACUUAUGGGACAAAUAUUUAUUGAGUGUCCAGUUUGUGUCAGGUACUAAAUACGUAAGCUUUACUAAUCCCACUUCUAGAAGAAUGAUUUCUUUUUCUUUUUGAAAUAACACUUCAGCAGAGCACCACAUUGUUUCAGACUUAAGUUUCCUUUUCCAUUUUGUCGACACCAACAGUGUUCUUAUAAUAUUAACUCACCAACAUUUAGUCUAUAAUAUGAUUGCCAGGGAUGUGGCAAUAUGUCCUUGGGAGCUUCAAGCCAUAUAUAUCUGGUCCAUCUUUUGGAAAGUUCAUGACAUAGAUGGGCAAGGAUACAAUUUAUACUCAGGAGAUGCAGCCACCCUAACAGAGUUACAAAUGAAUGUUAAAUGACAUAAACUAUGCGUAGUGCAAGCACGGAAGCAUCUCUUUGGUCUGAGGGAUAUUUGCAGGGACCUUGAAUAGGCAGAGAGAGGGGGACAUGUGGUCUAAGCCUCUGAGUUGGGAGAGGACAAUGAUGGGCAUGGGGGAGAAUGUAUAUGCUGUUUGACUUGAGAGGAUGACAUGUAGGCAUUAUGGUAGUCUUUUUCUUGACAUCUGAUACACAAUCACUUCUUUCUUUUCUCCAUGAAAUCUAGCCACAAAGAUGAGUUGCUCAAAUGUCAAGGUCUACCCCUCUUUAAAGCCUCCAUGAUUUGCACUCUCUGCAGCCUUGGCCAGGAUUGUCCUUAUCUUGCCCUGUCGCUGAUGGGUUAUUUACUACUCAUCUUUCAAGGGCCGGGUAGAAUUUUACCUAUUCUGAGACACCUUCAAGCAGAAUGAGUCUUUCCUUUGCUGUGCUCCCAUGACACAAUGCUCAUCUUCAAUAAAUAAUUAUAUUUUUUGUACCUUCAGUGUAUCAUGUUCAUCUUUGCAUCCCCAGUUUCCUCAAGAAUCCUGGCAUGAAAGAAUAUGCUUGUUGAGUGAAUAAAUUGGCUGAUUCUAAUGUUCAUAAGGCAAAGUUCACCUGUCCUAAUUGCUGAUUCAAUUCCAAUUUGACAGUGUCUUACAGAUUCUGGGUAAAUUGGGAUACUUCCCUUUGUCCUAACAUUGGAAAACCUUGGAGAAAAGUAUUGUUAUUUUCUACAUCAAGUACUUUAUCUGAGACAUGGGCAGCUAAAUAAAAAAUUGACACCU
Molecule: long non-coding RNA, 2861 nt
Filed under: Homo sapiens (human)
Lineage: Eukaryota; Metazoa; Chordata; Mammalia; Primates; Hominidae
Description: HSALNT0057480
Source: RNAcentral